UCGACAUAGGGUUUUUGUAGUUAUACAUUGUGUAGUUUUUUUUUUUUUUUGUUCUUGUUUUUGUCGACAAUUCAUUUCAUAUAAAAUAUUUGUGGAAUAUAAUAUUUUAUUUAAAUAUAUAUUUCCUAUCAUUUGAUAAGAGAGAGAUCAAAUAUCCAUUUAGGUCAGAUUUGUUUCUUUUCUGAUUAAAUUAUUUUGCUAGCUAAACAUUCCUGCUUUUCCGACGAUAAUGCCAAGUGACAAUAUACACUACCAAAAAAACACAACUACGAUGAUCGUCAUCCUCGUACAAGUAAAAAGAAAAAUGAAAGGAACAUUUCUAAUUCAUCGUCAUCACUAGCCGUGAAAUUUUUUCGAAAUGGAUGGAUAUAUUAUAUAGAAUGGAAUAAAUGAUUAAUCAUCAUAUAAUAAUGAUUUCUAUUAUUAUAAUUCUAUAUAGUUUUACAAAUAUCCAAAAUGAAGAAAGAACAAAAAAAAAAAGAAUCCUCAGCUGUCACACUCUUCAAUUUUUUAUAAGAAAAUAAAAAAAUAGGGUGCCAAAAAUAAAUAAUAUCAACCAAGUAAAUAGUUAAAAUUAAAUUCGACAAGAGCCAGUAAUCAGAAAUUGACAAGAUGAGAGGAGAAAUCGGGAAGCGGUGAGGAUGAAGGAGGACAAUACAAAGAGAAACCACCAAUCCGAACGAAGUUUCCAUCUCUCGGAAGAAUCACGGCGGUGAGUUUGGCUAGAGCCGUCGUGUACUCCACUAGUAUCUCAGCAAUGGUUACGACAGAGAUCAUUUUAACGACCAAAAUGAUGAUCUAGAAGAAGAAGAAGAAGUCUCUCUUGAGAGUCUUUUUCAGACAAGAAAUGGCUGUAUUCUGUUGUUAUGACUUGUGAGAGAGAGAGAGAUCUCGUAUCUUCUUUAUAUAUAGGUAGGACUGUAGGAGUAAGACUAGAUCGUUUCGUUUGGUUUCUUUUCUCUUCUGACGUCGUCGUCGUCGUUUACUCGGACUCGUGUUUCGUACUUUAAUAUUUUGUUUCACUUUUAUAAUAUAAUGAAGCGCCUCUUACGCGCAGUUCACAUUAGCAUUACCUGUGCCUCUAAUCUUCUGAAUCUGAUCAUCAAUUAAUCUAAUGGAUUUUGUUUACUAAUAUUAUUAUCUAACAGAUACAUCAUUUGUCAUGAUACAUAAAAUAAAUAACCACCACAACAUGUACAUUUGACGAAAUUAUAAAUCACCUAGACAAGUACAUAGUAAAUAAUUUCAAGAACUGAUCAUGUUACGUUACGUACGGAGUACAACAAUACUAUAGAACGUUCGAAAACAUUAAUAUCAGUGUUGUUUAAGAGUUAUUACGAGUUAAGAGUUGAAACGGUAAUUUUGCAAUUUGCUAAUGUAAACAAAAUUUGGUGUCCUAGUCAUAAUGUAUUUGUUUAAUUGCUGAAAGCUAAAGGUCACCUUCGGAUAAGGGUACACUGGGGCCAUUCAUGUGCCCAUCCUACGUCUUACCAACCUGGUUUUCGUCUCAUCUUCUUCCAUUAUCUAUUUUCGGAUUCCGUUUUUUAUGUAGAGAGAGAUACAUCAUUUCCAUUUGAACACGAGAAUUUAAUUCCGGUGGACAAGAACAUGCAUCUCUCUUUUUAUAGUUCUAUCAAAACAAAACUCAAUUAUUGAAAAUUCAUCAUUACCGGUCUUAUGAUUUAUGCUUGGUAUGAUUGAACUACACCACUCAUUUUAGCAACAUAAAACAUAUCUAAUGUUUUGUAAAAACUAAUUCAUCUUAACUUUUCUUUAUGAUCUUGUGAAUUGGGAACAUUCUUUUCUUUGAGACGUACGUAGUAGUAGUAACUAGUAACAGUAGUUACCCACUUUCACUUUCGUAUGUGCGUCAUCAUGCUCGCAAAAUCGCGUUUGUCCUCCUCUAGUCUAGCUAUCAUCUUCCAAUGUUUAUAAAAAUCAUAUUAAUAUCGUUUUCAAUCGUCCCAAAAGGAUCAAAACUCUUCAAGGAACCAAAUCGGUAAGUUGAACAUUCAGAGUGAAAAAUAUAUAAAUUAUAAUCAACUUGAUUACGUCAUUAGCGACUUUGUAUAUCCCAUUUUUAAAAAAUUACUGACGUUAACAAGACCAUUAAUCGUCAAAUGAGCCAUCGUUUCAAUAAUAUUCAACCAUCAUCAUUAAGUUAAUCAAAAUUUAACCCCGAGUGCCAAUUAAGGAACAAAAAUCAAGAGUUAAUCAAAAUUAAUAAUCUCUAUUAAUUUUUCCGAUAUACAGAUUUACAAAAGCUCUAAAAAACGAUUCAAAACUCUCUCCAUAGGAAGAGAGAGAGACGUGGAAAAAUCUCAGCCGUCCGUGUAAUCUUGGAUUAGAUGAUCAGAAAUCAACGAGAUGAGAAGAGAAGUCCGGGAUCGGCGAGGAUCUAGUAGCACUACUAGUACUACUCGACGGAGAAGGACAAGGAAGAGAGAAACCAGCGAUCCGUAAGACGUUGCUUUCCCCUUGUCGUCUCGGUGGAAAGAUCCCGGCGGUGAGUUUCGCGAGAGCGGCUGUGUAUUCUACCAAUAGCUCGGCGAUGAUUACUACGGAGAUCAUGGUUGUGUGAAAGAUUCAACUGAGAGGUAUUGCAGGAGGAGGAGGAGAAGAAGAAGAAGGAUCUAGAAGUCUCUAAGAUAUUUUCUGAGAGAUGCGAAUUUGGUUUGGUGUUGCUUGCUUGUGAAAAAUGAAGACCUCUUUUUAGCUCUUCAUAUAUCUCUCUCUCGGACAGUGACACGGUCUCGUCCUUAUUUUAAUAUGUUUUUGUAAUAAAAAUAACCGCGUCCUACGCGCACACAGCUACACAUUAGCGUUUAGCUGUCCUUAUCGAGAACUUUUUUUUUUUUUUGAUAAAAGCUUAUCGAGAGCUUAUUAGUUACAUUUCUUGUCUACUUCUCGAGGUGAAGAUCAAGAAGUAGAAGACUAGUAGUAAUUGUACUAAUUUUACUUUUGUUUAAUUUGAGCUGGCUUUAUUUUAUUAGUAAUUAGUACUUACGUGUGUUUUGUCAAAAUGAUAAGGAUUUUUUUUAGAUAUUUUAAUAUUUCACUAAAUCCUAUAUAUGCUGGUCUCACAGUAAACUUGCCAACUUUGUUUUUUCUCCCCGUCAAACUUGAAAAUACAAAGUCAUCAUUGUGGACUGAUUACAACUUACAAGUUUGGUUAUUCAGUUUGAACUUAGUUUUCUAAUUCCAUUUGCAAACAAUGAUUGUGAUUAUGAAGAUAAACAAAGGAGCUCUGUCGGAAUAAAGCCCACUUUACGAAUCUAGUUUGUGGAGUUAUCUUGCACAAGUUGUCGAUAUCAUUAUUAUUAUUUUCGAAAACUACGAUUACAUCCGGCGAAUCUAUGAACUACAGUAUAUGUUUUGUUUGGAUACCACGAAUUAGUUGGGGUUUUGUUGCACUUCUCAUAAUACAAACAAGGACAUGGGUUUAAGAAUUCUUACUAGUCUAUGGUUGGAGCUCUAUUUACACUUUAUUGGCACAUAUAAUUGGGUUAUCAAUUUAGAUUGAACUAAUACUCUAUGGAAAUAAUACUCUAUGGAAAUAAUAUAAGAUUAUUAAUAAAAUAGAGAGUACCAUUUGGUAUAAAAAAAGCAAGGAAACAAAAGAGUUUCGGUUAUAAAAUUGAUGAGGAUUGUAUCAAGCUUGACGUGUUCACAACUUGGCUGAUGUUAUAUCAGCCAGCCAACAUUAAUUUAAUGAAUAUGUAUGUAAUCAUAUAAGUUAAGACAAUUCUUUGUAUUUAAUUUCGAUAAUGAGUUGUACUCGAUUGUAACAAUCUGAAUGAAAUCAUUUGUUAAUUAUCGUAUAUGUUUGGCCUAGUCUUCGAUACGAGUACACACAUCUAGUGGAGUACGGCGUAACCAAAUAUGGAGUACAAUAUUAAGGUUUUCAAAAUGAGUUUACAAUAAACAAUUUUCGAUGCAUCACAAAAGAUCUUAGAGUAGAGAGAUCGUUUAAAAAUUUGCAUUUGUUUAAUCUGUGUCAAUUGUAUCCCCAAAGGUAAAAGGAGAUAAAUAUGAACAUGCAUGUCCUAUGGAAUCAUAAAUAUAGCAUAGAUCAUAAAUUUGGGCAAUCUAGUGAUAGACAUAAUUGUUUAUAAAUAUUAAAAUUUUAUAAUUUUUUCAGAAAACUCAACAUAUAUUAUUGUAAUUGGUGAAUCAAAAUUUUAUUUAUGUCAUAUAUAUAUAUAUGUUCUCUUAUAUAAUAUAUAUAUGUUCUCUUAUAUAAACUAGUAUUAUUUUUUUCAAUUAUAUAUUUAUUUCCGACACUUUUUCCAAAUAUAUAUGAUUUUUUCUAUUUCUAUUUUUCCUUUUUAUUCUUGAUAUGGAUUUCCUAUUUCUAUUUGUAUUUGAUUAAUUUAUUUGUUAAAUAUUACAUUAAGAACAAGAGCUUGAAUUCUUAUUGAAAAGCUGUGAAACGAAUCUUCGAAAUCGAAAGUGCGUGUCUUCGGAUUGAAUCUCUCUGCAGCUUACGACCACUCGCCCCUCACAAAUUUUCAAUUCGAAAACGACUAAUACAAGCUCUCCCCAAGUCUGAGCCUGAACCGGAGCCUUAGCCUGAGCUGAGGCCUGUAUCCGUAUACAGGUUUGUGAUUUAUGCCUCUUACCUCAUCGUAUUGCUGCUUUGAUUUUACCAAUCCCGGUGCUUCGGGAUCCUCUCUUAUUCAUAUCUGCUCGAGUCUGAUACAAUUUCUGUUGACCCGACAACUUAAAAAUUGAACCUUUUCGAGACCAGUGUUAAUCUCUCUGUCUCUAUGUAUCUCUAGACUCUGCUAGUGGACAUACCUUUAAAAGCCCCGACAGAUGAAGAUCGUUCGAAGGGAUUUUGUUCGUAAUGGACCCGGAAGCGUUAAGGUUUGAUUGAUUCCUUCGUCAUCUGGGAUUUUUUUUCUUUUCUCUUAUGUUACAAUAUCUAGUUUACAACUUCAAUUCAAAUGCUUUGCUGACUUAAAUUGAUGGUAGAUGGCGGCGGAGGACUCUGAUGAUCUAUGGUAUGCUUAUAACCUGAUUGCCAUCGGUGAUAGUGUAAUGGCUGUCACUUUUAGGUACGUUCUUCUUUCAGUUUUCGAUGCCUUUCUUGCUUUCAUGGUCUAUGGUAUGUUUAUAAUCAUGUAUCACAUUCAAAGUUCGUUGAUUUGUACGAUUUUAAUGAAAAUCCAUAAGGAGUAAAGGGAUUUGGUGUUUGGUUAACUGAUAUAGUAUCAUCCAAGAAGUUAGUAGUUACGGUUUUAUUUGUCUGCUAUCAGAAAAGUUCAGAGAGAGAUACCCGGUGGGGGAAGAGACUCUGAACGUGUUAAACUGAAGCUGGAAGUACAAGUUGAGGUAUGAUUUUAAUGGAUUGGUAUGCAAAUUUUUCAACGUCAUGCUUAAAAAAUCGCAAUAAACUAUAUUGCCUUACAUUCAUUUGCGUUAUAAAAUCAAUAUUGCGCACAUAUGUUGCUUUUUUGGGUUGUCUUUGGUCUUUUGAUUGUGGUACUCUUGACAGUGGAAGAUAUCUUUGUUUAAUUUCAUGGUCUGAUUCUCUUCAAUUCUCUAUUAUUCAAUUAGGAGGUGGACUAUGACAAAGACGCUGCUGUUUUGCGCAUUCGUGGGAAGAAUAUCCUGGAGAAUGAUCACGUAAAGGUAGAUGUGAGGCUGACUCUUACCCUAUAAUUUUUAUUUCGGUUCUGAAGCUUGUGUUGUAUCACAGAUUGGUGCAUUCCAUACUCUGGAGCUUGAGCUGAAACGGCCUUUUGUAUUGAGAAAGGUAAAUGUCCUAUUUUUACUAAUUUAAUCCUCCAGAAGUUCUGUGCUAUUUCUACCUUGUAAGUGUGACAGAAUGUGUCUUGCAAUCUGGUUUCUAUUAUAUGAACAACGCACUGCACACUCGUAUAGUGUGAUAUACCAUUUGGAAGAUAAUAUAUUUUCCUCUUUUUGUGACAACUUCAUUUGUAAUCGGUAGUGUGUACAUGGCCAAUUUUGCAGGAACUUUGGGACUCAAUGGCUCUUGAUACACUUAAGCAGGCCUCAGGUAUGAUGUUCCAAUGAUUCGACCUCCUAAUUUUUGCUAUCACAAAACUGCUAUGGUGUCUAUAUCGAUUGUUGGCAAAUUAUCCAAAUCUAUCUCCGUGUGGUCUAGGGUAGACAUUGAAUUUUAAGUUAUUAGUUUACAAGCUUUUAUGUGCAAUAUUCCAGACUUCUCCUUCUGUCUCCAAUUUAUCUUAUGCUCUUGGGCCUGCAAGUCUUUUUCAUUUAAUUCCUCGUUACGUGGCUGUUUAGACGAAAAUGCAUGUCUUAAAAAAUGUCAAAGUCUCUAAGACCUUUGUUUAUCUAUCUAAAAAGGCGUAUAUCUGAACCCUUUCACAUAAGUACUUGCCUAGUUGUCUUAACACAAUCAUUUACAGGCUUUAUGUAUGACCCAUAAUGGGUUUUGUUCAUUUGAAAUAGCUAGUAUUUCCGGUAUGCCAUGUGUUUUGAUCUCAUGUUAUCUCCCAUUUCGUAUUCCGGGUUCAUUUUUUUUUUAAACUUAUCUUUUGCACAGAUCCUGCUGCCAGUGCUGAUCUAGCUGUAGUUCUUAUGCAAGAAGGACUGGGACAGAUAUUCCUUGUCGGCAGAAGGUAAUGAUUGCAGUUUAGAAGAUCCAUUAGAUGUUAAAUUUGUUACUACUGUAGUUUGUGUAUUGUCGGCAUGUAUUUCCUUUUUUUUUUUUUCCCGCUUGGGUAGUUUUGUUUGAACAAAGUAUGCGAGGGGUUAAAUUUAACCAUCCGUUUCUGUUGUUGUUUACUUAAUUGUUUUCUUUGGCAGUGUGACAAGUAGCCGUGCACGAAUAGAAACAUCCAUCCCUAGGAAGCAUGGACCUGCAAUUGCUGGUUACGAAUCUGUAUGUUCCUUCACUUUUUCGACAUAUAUGUGCCCAAACUAUGGUUACUGGAAUUCCUUUUACAUAUCAUCCCUUCCAAUUUUUGUUUUUGGUUUUUCUGUAGGCUUUGAAGAAAUUCUUCGAGAAUGUUCUGCAGGUUUGUGUUCGUUCUCAGAAUGUUUAUGUUUUCUAACACAUACCAAAUAGAAAGUAAACCAGAGUUACACAUAUACUAAAAGUUAUUGCAAUAUCACAGGCUUUUGUGAAACAUGUUGACUUCAGUGUCGUUCGUUGUGCAGUGAUUGCAAGUCCCGGUUUUACAAAGGUUUGUCUGCCUCUUAAGACUAAUUCUAAAUUUACAUGGUUAAUUAUUGUUCAAAUUCCAGCUGAACAAGCUUAUACCUGAUGAACACAUUUACAAGGGAUACAGUUUUUCAGAUAUAUGUGUGUGUGACAAAUUUUAAGUUAUGUGCAUAUAUGACACACAUGAACAUUUGAUUGUUUCUUACCUUCAGGAUCAGUUUCAUCGCCACUUGUUGUUGGAAGCAGAAAGAAGACAGUUGAGACCUAUUAUUGAGAACAAAUCACGUAUAAUUCUGGUGCACACAAACUCUGGAUAUAGGUAGUGUUUCUGUAGAACAGCUUACUAACUCAUCAAAAUAAUGUUCUGCCACUGAAUUACCAUUGAAAGCUCAGUCUCAAAUGAUAUAAAAUGCUAAAAACUUAAGGGUGAGGCAGAAAAUUCCAACUUUUUUGUGUUUGUAUAACACUUUUCAAAUUGACCAGGUUACAUUUAUGUUUUGAUUCAUGUUUGCGGUUUCUAUUAGUCUUAACAAGUCACCUCUACUUGUUUGUAUUUCUUUUACUUGGCCACUUCUCUAAACAGCUUGUUAUUCUGCUCAUGCUAUUUUUCUUCGAUUUCUAACAUUGUUUUGGUGCACAGACAUAGCCUGGGAGAGGUUCUGCAUGCUCCCAACGUGAUGAAUAUGAUCAAAGAUACAAAAGCAGCAAAAGAGGUAAAAUAAUGUCAAUAUAGCUGAGAUAUUAUCAUUGUUAGUUGCUCAUUGAAAUCUUGGUUAGCUUAAAAGGUUUAUUAUUAUCAUCUUUUUGAUUUAAUAUUAUGUUGUUUCUUAUUUUGAAUUCGUGUGAGACCAAACAUUGCAUCAUUUUUCUUUUAUAGAAUGUGUCCCCUGUAUAGGAAGUGCUAUUCCGUAGUAAUCUAGUUAUUCUGUUCUGUAGCCAUAUUACAAGGAAAGCUUUUAUAGUUAGGUCACCGGAAAGCAUUAGGAUUCACAUACUAUGUGGUAGUGAUCCAUAAGAGUCAUUUGGUAUUUUCUUGGUCUAAGAAAGACACUCUCAGAGGCCAGUCUAAUAGAUUAGAUAUUGGUGGAUAAAGUUCUUGUAAACUGAAUGGUGGAUAGAACUGGAUGGAAGAAGCUUCUUCUAUUUUAUAUGUGUGUUCACUGUUUUGUGCAUUGUGCUCUUGAAAUAUACCCACCUGCCUGAUGUGGAUUUGCCUAUUGCAGGUCAAAGCUCUCAACGAUUUCCACACCAUGCUUUCAAAUGUCAGUUUCUUUCGUUUUCUAAUUUGCACUGAUCGGAAAGAUUUUCAUUAAGAAUCUCAAUGUGUCUUAAUAUUGUUUUGCUUUGGAAUCUAGGAUCCAGAUCGGGCAUGUUAUGGACCAAAACAUGUGGAAGUUGCUCAUGAACGAAUGGCAAUCCAAACACUUCUCAUUACGGACGAGCUUUUCAGGUUUAGUAAUGGAAAGGAAUACCAACUUUAAUGCGGCUUUUGUACUGUAGUUACAAAGGCACGUGUGAUGUAUAAAUAUGUAAUUUUGGUCCAGGAAUUCUGACGUGAAAACAAGGAAGAAGUAUGUGAAUUUGGUGGAGUCGGUGAAAGGUUCGGGAGGAGAAGCUUUUAUAUUUUCGGCGAUGCAUGUGUCAGGGGAACGUUAGUGUUUGCUUCUUUAACCCUUCUUUCUUAAUCUAAGUUAAUUGUGAUUUUGAUUAUUGUUUUUUUGUGUGGCAAACAGUUAUUAACAAGUUUUGAUGAACUUGCAGAAUUGGCACAGCUAACUGGAAUUGCAGCUCUUCUCAGGUUUCCUUUACCAGAACUCGAAGACAUUGAGAUGUAAAAUAUCCUCAGCUAUAGAAAAACACACAAAAUCAUAUAGGUCUCAUAAUUUAUAGGCUUGUCGUUCUCGUUUAAAGAGAGAUCUGUAACUCAUACAUAUAAGUUAAUCAUUCGUUGCUGUUUCAGCGUUUUUGGGUUGCAGACGAUAAAAACGUUACACCUUGUUCAAUAUUCUUCAGCUUUUCUGAUAUGAAAGACAUAUUUGUUCAGCACAUUACAAUUGUUUCUUUACAAGUGAUAUACGAAUGACCAGUUCCAUAGCGUAUGAGUGCCAUGUAAAGAUUAUACAACGAAGCAAACACUUAAAGCAUUCACAUUAUAAUUUCAACAAACACUGAAACACACAAGUCAAUUGUUAACUUUGGUUGAACGAUAAGGCGCCAACAACUUUGGUCAAACUCAUAAUUAAAGUUUACCACCAAAAACAAUGAGAUACGAACCAAUAGAAAACUAGAUAAAUAACUAUUUAAUCUCGCAAAGCAAAAACCCUUAAAGCGUAUUAAUAGAAAAGGGCAAAAAAAAAAAGAAAAACCCUAUUCGCUGUAGUGUGUCUCUCUACUCCCACAAUUCGAGCAGCCUCUGUCUGCUUGGGGAGUUCAUCAAUCGAUCAAGUCAUGGCGCAAUCUCUCGAGCUUCUGUUGAUCCAAUUCCUUAUGCCGGACAAUGAUGCUCGUCGUCAAGCUGAGGAUCAGAUCAAGCGUCUUGCCAAAGACCCUCAAGUUGUUCCUGCUCUCAUUCAGCAUCUCCGCACUGCAAAAACCCCCAACGUCCGCCAGCUCGCCGCCGUUCUCCUCCGCAAAAGAAUCACCGGACAUUGGGCCAAGCUUUCUCCUCAGCUCAAACAGCAUGUUAAGCAGUCCUUAAUCGAGAGUAUCACCGUCGAGAACAGGUUCCUCUCUCUCUUUCUCUCACUCUAUAUUUUUCUUCUCUUGUUUCAAUUCGGAUUUGACGUUUUUGUGUUUUCAUUGAAUUUAUUAGUCCGCCGGUGAGACGUGCGAGUGCUAAUGUUGUGAGUGUAGUAGCCAAGUACGCUGUUCCGGCUGGAGAGUGGCCUGACUUAUUAACCUUUCUCUUCCAGUGUAGUCAGAGUGCUCAAGAAGACCAUCGUGAAGUAACUUUCUUGUGAAAUUCUCACUGUGUCAUUUAUUUUAUGGUUGAUCGAUUUGAUGCGUUUUUGUUCACUUACGUAUAUUUAUUUUGUUGUUGCUUGUAGGUAGCAUUGAUCCUUUUCAGCUCUUUGACAGAAACGAUUGGGAACACAUUUAGGCCUUACUUUGCUGACUUGCAGGCUCUUCUACUCAAGUGUAUGCAGGAUGAAAACAGUAGUCGAGUCAGAGUUGCUGCUCUCAAGUAAUUUGUUUUUCACUGGAAUAUAUUUAUGUUUGCUCUUCUCUUGGAUCUUUAUCUCUACUCUUUACACUCUUCUGUAAUUUUAUUAGGGCGGUGGGUUCUUUUCUGGAAUUUACAAACGAUGGGGAUGAAGUGGUAAAUCUAGUGACUUUCUCUUUCUUGUUUAUGUUAUAGACAUGUUUAAACGUCUAAUAGUAUCUAAUGGGUUUCUGUAGGAUGUGUAACUUUUGAAUUUCUAUUUUGUCUGGGAAAUUUUUUUAGUUUAGAGACUGAUUUAACAUAUUUGCUUAUGCCAUUUCUAUCAGGUCAAAUUCCGAGAGUUCAUUCCCAGCAUAUUGAAUGUAUCAAGGAAAUGUAUUGCAUCUGGAGAGGAGGAUGUUGCUAUUCUUGCUUUUGAAAUUUUUGAUGAGCUGAUUGAAUCUCCUGCUCCUCUACUUGGAGAUUCUGUCAAAUCAAUUGUGCAGUUCUCUCUUGAAGUUUCCUGUAAUCAAAACCUGGAAAGUAGUACCCGUCACCAGGUUAGAUGAAUCACUCUGUUUACUUGAAAUAGGUUCGAAUUGUGAUGUUAUGACUCCUGAUGCCUCACUCCAUUUAUUUACCAGGCAAUCCAAAUAGUUUCAUGGUUGGCAAAGUACAAACAUAAUUCCCUUAAAAAACAUAAGCUAGUCAUACCAGUUUUGCAAGUUAUGUGCCCUUUACUAGCUGAGUCAUCUGAUCAAGAGGACGAUGAUGAUCUUGCUCCUGAUCGUGCAGCUGCUGAAGUUAUUGACACACUUGCAAUGAACCUGCCAAAGCAUGUCUUCCUCCCUGUUUUGGAAUUUGCUUCCAUGCAUAGUCAAAGUACAAAUCUGAAGUUUCGGGAAGCUUCUGUAACAGCUCUAGGUGUUAUAUCAGAGGGUUGCUUUGAUCUGAUGAAAGGGAAGCUGGACCCUGUUCUUAAUAUAGUCUUAGGAGCUUUAAGAGACCCUGAGCAAAUGGUUCGAGGGGCUGCAUCAUUUGCAAUAGGCCAAUUUGCCGAGCAUCUUCAGCCCGAAAUCCUUUCACAUUAUCAGAUAAUUCUUCCAUGCCUAUUAAAUGCAAUUGAUGAUACAUCUGAGGAGGUGAAGGUAAAAGUUUAGAGCAGCGAACUGAGCGUAGUCUGUGUUGUUUGUGAAAAUGCACUGCUGCCAUGAUAACAUGUAACCGUAGUUUAUUAGUAACAUUUUUCGUAAUUGUCUACAGGAAAAGUCACACUACGCCUUAGCGGCAUUCUGUGAGAACAUGGGAGAGGAAAUUGUUCCUUUACUUGAUCAUUUAAUGCAGAAGCUUAUGGCUGCCCUCGAAAGUAGCCCGCGUAAUUUACAAGAGACAUGCAUGGUACACUGAAAAUCUUUGCAAGAGUUUCUUUUGAACUGGUUUCUGAAAAUUUUAUGUAAGCUGUGUGCUACUUGCUUGCAGUCUGCAAUUGGGUCGGUUGCUGCUGCUGCAGAGCAAGCAUUCAAUCCGUAUGCUGAGAGGGUUCUAGAGUUGAUGAAGUUUUUCAUGGUGCUCACCAAGGACGAGGAUCUUCGUGCCCGUGCAAGGUCUACUGAGCUUGUAGGGAUUGUCGCAAUGUCUGUUGGGAGAAAAGAGAUGGAGGCCAUUUUGCCACCUUUCAUUGAUGCUGCAAUAUCAGUAAUGGCCUUAUCAUAUUCUCUUUCUUUGAACUGAAUAUGUUAUUUUGUGGAAGAAAGAGCUCACAAUCACAAUAUACCAGGGAUUUGAAUUGGAGUUCAGUGAGUUGCGAGAAUAUACUCAUGGUUUCUUCAGCAACGUAGCUGAAAUAUUGGAGGACAGUUUUGCGCAGGUGUGCAUGCAUUUUCUUUCAUAUGGACUUUAUAACAGCUUUGGAUUCAGUGAUUAAGUUUAGAGUAAACAGAAAAAAAUAUUUUUUCGCAGUAUUUACCUCGCGUUAUGCCAUUAGUAUUAGCUUCUUGCAAUCUGGAUGAUGGAUCUGCAGUAGACAUUGAUGAGUCAGAUGAUGAACAUGUCAAUGAUUUUGGUGGAGUAUCCUCUGAUGAUGAUGCUCAUGAUGAGCCCAGAGUUCGGAACAUUAGUGUUCGAACAGGAGUUUUGGAUGAAAAGGCAGCUGCGACUCAAGCUCUUGGCCUGUUUGCACUGCACACUAAAACUUCUUUUGCACCGUAUCCUUUAAAUUUCCCUUAACUAUUUUCUUUUGUCUUUUUACUAGAACUCUUUUUCAUGCCUCCUUAACUCACUUAUAAGCUACCUCGAGGAAUCAUUGAAAAUUAUGGACAAACAUUCUGCAUAUUUUCAUGAAGAUGUUCGGCUUCAAGCAGUCACUGGUUUGAAACGUGAGUUUUCUAUCUAUUGAUUAUUUGACAUCUUGAUCCAUUGAUUGACAUUAUUUUAACUGGGCCGGAACUGUGCUGACACAUAUGACCUCUUCCAUAACCCUUGGGGACUCGUCCGAGCGAGGGUUAGAUUAAUUUUCCUAGGCACAGAAAUUAGUAAACGUUGUUUGAUAGGUACAUAGCUUCAUCCCAACUUAAGGUAAACUGGCCUGAUGAUUAACAAUUUCUGACAGCUGGGUAUAUGAUCGAUGUGCCAAAUUUCCUUCUUGCCGCCUUUGUUUGAUAUGUGGUCAACUGUCUAGGCCCUCUUCCUUUACAAUUUCAUGCUCACUUAAGUCGUAUUAGAUAUAUGAAGUUCUGCGGAUCUCUUAGUAUUUAAAAGCUUACCUAAUCUAUGGGUUAGACUUGAUAAUGCUGGGGGCAUUACAGCUCGUCAUUCUAUUUCGAGUCUCCAAACUUAUAACUCUUUUAUCUGUUGGAAUUGCAGAUAUAUUGGCUGCAGCGCAUGCUAUCUUCCAGACUCAUAAUGUAAGAGACUUGCUCAUGCAUAUAUCUAUCUUUUUCCCACUCUCUCCUCCCCUCCCCGUUCCUUUAUAAUUUCCAGCCAUGGUAUUCUGAAUGUUUUGUUCUUAUGUAGGAUGGAGCUGGGAAGGCAAAUGAAAUUCUUGGUAACGCAUAAUACACAUCAUUUUUUAUCAUUAACAACAAGAAUGACGAGAAGAAGUUACGACAGUUUUUCUCCAUUGCAGAUACAAUUAUGAAUAAUUAUAUCAAAACUAUGACUGAAGAUGACGACAAGGAGGUUGUCGCUCAGGCUUGCAUGAGCGUAGCAGAUAUCAUGAAGGAUUAUGGUUUCGUAGCCAUUCAAAAUUGUGGGUGUAUAAACUUGUUGGAGUCAGUUUGAUGUAAUUCAGGAUAUUCAAAUGAUCUUACUCUUGUAUCCUAUGCUGAAAAUGGUUUCUAGAUUUAUCACCCCUUGUUGAUGCGACGCUGCUACUGCUGACGGAAAAAGCAGCUUGCCAGCAGUUAGAAGAUGAGAGUGAUGUUGAUGAUGAUGAUACCGGACAUGAUGAGGUCCUCAUGGAUGCAGUUUCUGACCUCCUUCCUGCCUUAGCAAAGUGUAUGGGUUCUCAUUUUGAACCUGUCUUUGCCAAAUUCUUUGAGCCGUUGAUGAAAUUUGCGGUGGGUGUUAGUGAUUACAGUAUUCGUUAACAUUACUUCUUGCACUGAAAUUUAGAUACUGACUGGUCCACUUCGUGUGUCUGUAGAAAGCUUCACGUCCCCCACAGGAUAGGACAAUGGUAGUUGCUAGUCUUGCUGAAGUUGCUCAAGACAUGGGUCCUCCAAUCUCUGCCUAUGUUGAUGUAAGUUUUAUCAUUUUAUGUUUUCUAUGAUUGGUGUUUGAGCUGUACUCAACCAAUCAUUGGGAGUAUUUUCUUGCAGAGGUUAAUGCCCUUGGUUCUCAAAGAAUUGGGGUCACCAGAAGCAACCAAUAGAAGAAAUGCAGCUUUCUGUGUUGGAGAGCUUUGCAAAAACGGGGGUGAAGCUGCCAUUAAGUAUCCUUUUCGUGUUACAUGAUUUAACUCUACUCGCCGACAAAAAAAAAAAAAAAAAAAAAAGAUUUAACUCUACUCACAUUGAUUUCUAUGCUCAUCCUUCUAUUGUCCUUCUGUUUCUCCUGGUUUUCUCUUGUGGUUUUGGGAGAACAUGAGAGUUGUCAGUCCAUGCCACAUUUGUCUUCCCUUGACUCAGUAGCAGAUAUAUUGAUGAUGUUCUACGAAGACUUUCCCCUCUUUUUGGGGAUUCAGAACCAGACCUUGCUGUAAGGGAUAAUGCAGCAGGUGCUACCGCAAGGAUGAUUGUUGUUCAUCCUCAACUAGUCCCGCUAAAUCAGGUAUGAUCUUGGUGGAUUGGCCAGUUUCGUCUAUCUUUUGUGUACGUCCUGAACCUUUAUGGAAACACUGUACUCAUCCCUAAGUUAUACAAUCCAGGUACUUCCAGUGUUCUUAAGAGGUCUACCUCUAAAGGAAGAUCAAGAGGAGUCCAUGGCUGUUUACAGCUGUAUAUAUUCGCUAGUUUUGGCAUCCAACCCACAGGUAACUUUUCCUAUGCAUAAUUUCGACUUUGGCAUAAUAUUACAUAGGGUGCAUUUGGUGAAUUAUUUUGCUUGGAUACAAAAUCAGAUCCUCCCUCAUAUUCCGGACCUGAUUAAAAUAUUUGGACAAGUACUGGAGUCACCAGUCGAAAAAGUAGAAGUGAAAGCGAUUGUAGGCAGCACUUUCUCCCACCUGAUCCAGGUUUAUGGAAAUCAGCUGCAGCCAAUCAUAGCUGGCCUACCGCCUUCGCAAGCUAACGCUCUUGCUGCGUUUGCUUCUACUAGUUGAUCUUCGCACGUGAUAAAUUUAUAUCUCAGAAGCUAAAACUGUCUUCUGGGUUUUUGGUUUUGUUUUUCUUUUUGAAAUCUAUUCUUUGUUCAUUUGAGUGUCAAAUCUUGUUUUUAAUAUAUCCAGUUUAGCAAUUGCGGGUAGCGAGUGUUUUCCUAUCUUGGCUUUGUCAUGUGUUCCUUUCUUCAGAGUUUUGUCUUCAUUGUUUAUUUGAUUUUCUCCAUUUAUUUAUAGUUUUUAAAAAGUUCGCAAAUUGUGUUUGUAUUUUGUAUUGUGACAUUGACAAUAUUGUAUUUUUUGGCCUUGAUAAUAUUUAAAGGAGUAUACAUACGUACAUCUAUGCAUCAUUGCUGUUUUUGGCAGCAAACAUAUCUUAUUUGUUAUACUAGCAAGUUGGAACAGAGUGCGAAAGAAGUGAGUUUCGGAUAGUGGGCUGCUAUCUCUGCUAAUGCCUUGAGUUUUUCCAAUUUCCCACAAAAUAAAUCAAGAAAAUCAACUAAGUAGCAAGCAAAGUCCAAGGAUUAGAUGCUGACAACAAAACACAAAAGUGUAAGCGUUAAUGGAAGUUCACAAGAAAGAUGCAGUGGCUAAGAAUCCUUAGGUUUUGGCGGGAACGGGGCGUGGUGAUGAUUGAGAUAUCUCUCUCUCUGUCACAUACCAAAACACUAAAUUUGGUACGGAGAUCCGGUUUAGCGUGGUUUAAUGGAUCAAGCUUUGAAAUGGGGAAAAAUGAAACAGAAACCAAAUUUUCCUCACUUGUUCCUUGUUAGAGAGAGAGAGAGAGAGAGAUGGGUUACGGAUGGGCGAUCUUCGAGGGGAUACUGGUGAUGGGAUCUCUGUGUCUCCUAGGAUCGGCUGGUCUUUGGUUUCUCAACCGGAGGCUUUACAAGGAGUACGAAGAGAAACGGGCCUUGGUUCAAAUCAUUUUCAGCGUCGUCUUCGCCUUCUCUUGCAACCUCUUACAGCUCGUUCUCUUCGAGAUCAUCCCUGUCUUAUCUAGAGAGUACGCUUUCCAGUUGCAACUUUGUUUUCUCUUAUCGAUUGUUCCGCAGCUGAAUUUUCCCUUACGUUUUGCUGACCUAAGAAUUUUUUUCUUGCAACUACUACUGUUUAGCUGCUACUCCCAGAUGAAUGAGAAAUACAUAUACCAUUGAGUGAUGUGAAAACUUAUAAUGCUGGAUAAUGUGUAACAUCAUUGACUAAUUUUAUCAUUUGGUGUGAAAGGGUUGUGAAUUUGUGCAAUGAGCUUUGACAAUUUUAUUAUUUAGUUCUGCAAUUAUAUCUGAGACAAAUCAUGAGACCUAUAUCUCUUUUUCUCUAUCACCCAGAAAAUAGCUCAAGCCUUGGAAGUUUCUAUUGAGAUUCAUUUUGCUUUGCAGGGCAAGGAUGGUAAACUGGAAGGUGGAUCUCUUUUGUUUGAUAGUGCUCCUUGUUUUCAUGUUACCGUAUUAUCAUUGCUAUUUGAUGCUUCGCAAUACUGGUAAGCAUUUUCCUCAUGCCAAAGUAUUGAUGUUCUUCUAUUCUGUGUCAUUUCAAGUGUCCUAGCAAUUCCUAAAGUUGUAUAUUACAUUACUAUAUGCUCAUUUUUUGCAUAUGAUGGACUGUAUUUUGCUUCAUCAGUUUUUCUUUAAGAAAUAGUAUGGGGCCUGGUAAUUGACACUGGCGUAAAUUUCAUUUCCUUAUUUUCUCAUCAUUCACGAGUUUCAAUUUGGAUUGAUAUGGAAGAAUAUUUAUAAGCAUUGCCUUAUGGAAUUGCUCCUUCCUUCUUUCGUUUUUUCGAUUAAAUAUCAUAUCACCACGUUUCAGGUGUUAGAAGGGAACGUGCUGCUGUUGGGGCCUUUUUAUUUUUGACUGCGUUCCUUUAUGCUUUCUGGCGGAUGGGAAUUCAUUUUCCUAUGCCCUCAGACAAAGGUAACUCUUUGAGUUUGUACACCCUGUCUUACCCUUCAACACUGUGUAGGCAAGAAGAAAGUUGAUCUUAAGUUUCAGUUAGAUCUUAUUAACAUAUUUAUGAACGAAGUGUACUUCUGAAUAUGUGUAGUAGGAAUAAUGUUGCUAUAACUUGAAAGGAGUAUCUGAGCAUGUUGACACUGAAUAUGAUUGCCUGACUGUAGAAAAUGUCUUCAGAAGAAUUUCAUAGAAUCAAUCAUCUUGCCUCCUUUAGGCUUGUGUCUAUUUUUGCACAACAGUAGCUUUUCUAUAUACAAAUCCUCUCGGUUCUUUUUUUUUUUUGGAUGCUUAAGAUCUUGUCACCGCCUGUUGGACUACUUACCUUAAACAAACACCCUUUUAUUUUGAGUUUUUGACAGGUUUUUUUUCAAUGCCUCAACUGGUCAGCAGAAUUGGGGUUAUUGGUGUGACCCUCAUGGCUGUCUUAUCGGGUUUUGGAGCUGUAAAUUUGCCUUACAGUUAUAUAUCUCUCUUCAUUAGGUACUUCCCUUUAUCAUUGCUCCAAUAUUUUCUUCUAGCUUCUGCUUAAAUCUGUAAUGGUUUUGCUGCUUAGUUUGUUUCAGCUAAUCUAUAGAGCAUUUUUCUCUGAUGGCACCAUAAACUGGAGUGAAAAAAUAGAACGAUAUAAUUAGGUAACUGCCACUUUAAUUUGGAAAUGAUAGCAAAAAAUAAGAAAUAAAAAGAUACCGGGUUGAUGUGGACAGAAAAUGUUACGUAAACACUCAUUCUUUAAUGACGCAAAUGGUUUUGUGGAUUUUAAUUUGAAGUAGCUAAGCUAUGAAUAGCGUUUCAUCUUCUGUGUUGUAAAUGGUUCUACACUGAUUGAAGAGCAGCUGGAUUGGGAAUUUUUUUAUUUUUUUUUUAUCUAACAGCGUUGUCAUGUUUUCUGUAUCUCUGGAAACAUACAGGGAGAUUGAAGAAUCUGAAAUAAAAUCGCUGGAAAGGCAGCUGAUGCAAUCAAUUGAUACUUGCAUAGCUAAGAAGAAGAAAAUUAUUUUAUGUCAAGUGGAGGUGGAACGAAUUCAAGUAUCAGAAGAGGUAUGUUUCCUUCUUCUAUUUUAGUACGUGAUUGUAAUUUAAAGUUUCAUAUUAUUUAACAUUCUGCAUUUGGGUUAGGAUUCUUAUCAAAUCUGUGUAUUUCGCUACUCUAUGGUAAAAUGCUCUUCAGGCUCUGAAAUGAUUUUUGUUAUCAUAACACUUAUUUUUUUAUGCAUCAGUCGAAAUGCCAUUAAAACAAUUUUCCACAUAGACUGAUAAAUGAUAUUUCAUAAUUAUGCUUUUCUCUUGCUGCUAAUUCUAAAAUGAGCUUAGGAAGUAAUCAUUUAGUGCUUUUGGCUUUCAGAAUCAAAAAGGUAGGUCUUUCUUUAGAAGAUUUGUCGGGACUGUUGUGCGGUCGGUUCAAGAUGACCAAAAGGAGCAAGGUCAGUUUAUAUAAUUUAGUUUCAGAUGCAGUUGUAUCUGCACAACAUUAUCUUCCUAGGAGUGAUUUUAUAUGUGCACUAUUUUUGAUGCCAUUAUGUUUUCCUUUAUUUGAAAGAAACCAUCUAAAUUUAUUUGAUAGAUAAAAUUUUCAUCUUGCUUCUGUCAGCUGAAAUUUUUUGACGUUUCGAUAGAGAAUAGGUUGGGCUGUUACAGUUUCCCUCUAUUAUCAGGUUAAAGGUCAGAAUAGGAUCAUGUAUUUUCCUUAGAAUUUUAUAGUGUACAUAAUAAUAUGAGAUAUUAGCUCAGCAUAUUAGUUACCGUUUGUUGAUAUCUCCUCGAAUCAUUGAUGUGUUUCUUUUACAGAUAUCAAACUAAUGGAGGCGGAGGUUGAAGGUCUAGAAGAGCUUUCAAAGCAGCUAUUCUUGGAAAUUUAUGAACUCCGCCAAGCAAAGGUCCCCCUUUAGCACUGUGCCAUUAGUUUAAGUUAUCUGCAGAUUUCUACUCAUUGGCAUCUUCGACUAAAUUAUCUAUUUCUUAGUUUAUUACCUGUAGGUCUUGUUACUUUGUAACAUACACAUUCUAUAAGCAUUUAUCUAGCUUCAUUUCGUUUGCAGGAUGCUGCUGCUUUUUCUCGAACUUGGAAGGGUCAUGUGCAGAACUUACUUGGCUAUGCGUGUUCCAUUUACUGUGUGUAUAAGAUGUUAAAGGUAAUUUUUUUGUGCUUUAUGUGAAGUGAUAGCCUUCAGUUCUUCUUACUCUAUGUAUUCUCAUAUUCCAAGGCUAUAUUAAAUUCGUCCACAUGAAUGAAACAAUGGAUUAUGGAUUUUUGUGGUUAGUGUUAAUUUAUUUAAUAGAGAUUUGAUGCAGAGUUGCUUACAUAUUUUCAAAGAUCCCAGUAGAUGGAUAGAUCUAAAAUUUGUGGAUCCCAUUUCAUUGUGUGUGUUUCUGGGAUGUGAACUUUGUAGCUGUUCUCAGGACAGUAAUUGUUUUAUUAGAAGAAAAUAUCGCCAAUAUCUCUUGUUCUGUGUUUGACAUUUGUAACUGUGGACCAGUGUUUCUAACAUCUCUGUUAUACCCUUUGUUUUAUCUGCAGUCUCUUCAAAGUGUCGUUUUCAAGGAGGUAUUCUCAUGUUUUUAUACCCUUUAUGAUGAAUGGUUGCAUCUGUUAUCAUCAUUUGUUUACUUAUUUACUACAUGGAAUAGUAAUCAGAUUAUUUACAGGCAGGCACAAAAGAUCCUGUCACGAUGAUGAUCAGUAUAUUCUUGCAGUUCUUUGAUAUAGGAGUAGAUGCUGCAUUGCUCUCACAGGUGUGCUUGACUGAGUUUUUGAUGACUUUAAUCUUGAAAAUGCCUAUAUGGUUCUUCAAUUACCUUAUGAGUCUAUUGGUUUCCCAGGAUCUUGUAAACGUAGGUCUGACUCUGUAUCUUUCUCUAUCAUUUUCAGUAUAUUUCCCUGUUGUUUAUUGGGAUGUUGAUCGUGAUAUCAGUGAGGGGAUUCUUGACGAAUCUGAUGAAGGUGCGUUCUAAUUUUAACGUUUAAAAUUUCUUCCAUUUGUCUUUAUACAAUCUUUUGUGAUUUCCACGUAUUUUGAAGCUUUUUAGUGUCUACGGGAAACUAUUACCCAGCCUUUAACAUGUUUAAAUAGACAGAGUCUGUCACUUUUUUUGCACCAGCAAACUUUCCUUGAGAAAGUUGUAGUUGUUUGAGCAAAGCACAUGAACAUAUAUCUCAAUUGCAGAUGUAGAGUAAUUUAACUGAGUAUUUGUUGCAGUAGCAUUACGGAUCUACUCAAUUAAUUUUUAACCUGAAUAUAAAACAAAUUGAUGGCUACUUGAUUGGCAGUAGUAUGGUGAUUUUACAUUUUACUGAAACAUAACUAACAAUAUACAUUUUACAGUUCUUCUUUGCAGUGUCAAGGGUAGGGAGUGGUUCUUCAAGCAAUGUUGUGCUUUUCCUAUCCGAAAUCAUGGGAAUGUACUUUUUGUCUUCCAUUCUUCUUAUAAGAAAAAGCUUGAGAAAUGAGUACAGGUACCUGCUCUUAACUAAAAUGAAUAAUAAACUAAUUGCUGUAUGUGUCGUUAUGUACAUGUUUCUUCUGAUCUAAAGAUGGAAAAGUAGAUUAUAUUACUGAAAGCUUUUUUGUUGGUACAGAGGGAUAAUAACAGAUGUAUUAGGCGGAGAUAUUCAAUUUGAUUUUUAUCAUCGAUGGUUUGAUGCAAUAUUCGUGGCGAGCGCUUUUCUUUCUCUGCUUUUGCUUUCUGCGCACUACACAUCUCGUCAAAUUGAUAAGCACCCAAUUGACUAAGAGCAAGCAUCUGUAAGUUCCCUUCCAUUCAGUGUUUGAUUGAAUUUUGAUGUAGAUUAAAGUAGUUGAGUCAUUGACAUAUGUACAGUUUUUGAGCUGAAAGGAUUAGUCUUGAGUUGUUUUUCUUUCUUCCUCAGGUGUGUGUGUCUGUGAUUAGCUGAUUAGUUGUAAAGAGAAUGAGAGUUAUAUAGAGAGUACCGGCAAAUCCUAAUGGUUACUUGUAACUUGAGUUUGGGGGAUUAGCAUUCAUUACAUAUUUUUUAUGCAUGCUUAUAUUAUAUAUCAUGUAAAUUUUCUUUUGCAGUGUACGUACUUUCAAGGAGGAGGAAAAGAAAAAAAGAAAAAGAGUAGUCUAGUCGCCACAAUGAUUUCAUGUGGCAUUAAUUGAGAGGACUUCUUUUGUUGUUGGUUCGUUGUGUGAGGAUAUUAUUGUGGUGGUAGAGAGAAAGCUGGUAAGUGUUAGGUUCAAAAUAUAUCUGCUUCUGUUUAUAUAUAUAUUAUAAUGCAUAUGUCGACGCAGUGACGCUUUUGAUCAAACCACAUUGUAUUCCAGGAAUAGAAUUCUCAAUACUGAUAUCUGUUUAUAAAAAAUAUAAAAAAUAUCCACAGAAAGGUGAGAAAGAGAUAACAUCAGUGCAGGAUAAAAUGACGUUGGUUCUCUAGGGAAGAGCCAACUACGCAACACCAGUCACUGCCGCCAAGAGUUACCAAUAUAUAUAUUCCUCGUUUUGUCUUAAUCUUGAUCCUCAUAGAUCAUUACAUAAAAUCAUUCAGCUGACUGCUAAUUAAUUAAUCAAUCGGUUGUAGGGAAAAAUCAAUAUUUUGCCACAGCAAAACAGCUGAAGAACUAAUCAAUUUGUAAUUCAAGUUAAAGGCCUCUAUUUCAAAAUAAAAUAUCUAAUUACAGUAGACAAAUAAAAUAUCUACGAUAAGUAAAAGUACAGAAAGCAAUUAUUUUUGUUGGAACGCUUCACGGCGGGUGAAAGAAAAAGAGAGGCUUCAACGGCCUUUGAGUUGUUUGUCACUUUGUUGGCUCAGCGCCGCGCUGUCUCUCUAAAACAGCCUGGUGGUAAGCUUCUUCUACGUUUUCCCUUUUUUGACCAUAAUUGUUCCGUAAACUUUUGCUUUUUGCUUAGUCUCGAUCUACUUGAUUGCUUUCACGCAGAAACCCUAAUUUCUCGGAGAACCGGCCCUGCAGUGUUUACCCUUUCUGAUGAGGUUUCUGUUCCGAUUUUUUGUCUAUCUUCACUUUUGGUGUUUCGAUUUUUUCCUGUGACCAAAUUUGAGACUCUGGCUUCUUCCUUUCGAGUGUUUUACUACAUUUUGGUGAUUUUUUUUUUUUUUUAGGUGAACAUUAGCUGAUUUCUAAACGGGAAGCUGUUGAUUUUGUGUUAAAGCUUGGAUGAUAGAGACACUUGAUUUUCUCUGACAAUGACUACACGAAGAAAUGGCAUUUCUAGGAACCAGCGGGUUGAGAGUUUUCGCGGUGAAGGCCCUAACUGGAUCCUUAUUGCUGGGGGUGCCUUGUUGAGUACAUUGUCUAUUCGCUUUGGCUACAAAUUAAAGCAGUCCGUUGACUCGAAACCUCACUCCAAUGGUGGAUUAAAACGUACUUAUAGGUUUUACUGCUUUUACAUGUCCUACCAAUGUAUUCGUUUGAAAAAAAAACUAAUCUUAUUUGGAGGGUGGUUGACUUGUUGUUUUGCAGCCAGUGGAACAUCUGACAGAGGAAGAUCUCUAGGAUGCUGUUUGCAUUCUAAUGCGUCUCCCUGUGAUAGGAAUAAUGAUUUUUGCUUCCACUCCACUUCCGGUGAGAGUUUGUGAGUUGGUAAUUCCUACCAGCUGCAUUUUCUUUUACUUUAUCUUGACUCUACAUAGUCUCUUGCUGGGUUUGCUAAGAUAUUUUUGAGAAUGUUUUGUAAAUUAGUUUGGACAUGGUUCUUACAAGUUUGUAGCCUUUAGUUUCUUACAUAGUGAUGUCAUUGUAGCUCAAUCACGAAUCAUACUUUAAGUAGCUACUUGCAUCAAUGAGCUGGCAACUAUGGAGGAAGUAUCCCCAUAUGAUGGGUUGUAGUAUCUCAGAAUUGUUACUCUCAGGAACUGAAUUUCGUUCCAGAAAAGUUUUGUGUGGGUGUUCUGAAAGUUGGCUUCUUUUCUUAAUGCAGGAACUGAGAAUGGGGACGGUAAUCAUGCUACAAAUGAGCAUAUUGCGGUGUCCAGUACCACGUUGCCUCUUGUGACAGUUCCUAGUCCAACAUAUAGCAAAGAGAAUGGAGUCAUGUGGGGAUCUACUCCUGAUCACCUGGAAGUUCCCAUGAAACCAUACCAUCACCAGUCAACCUGCUCAGAUUCUCCUUGUGUAUCUGAAUCCGGCUCAGACAUCUUCAGCAAGCGAGAAGUAAUACAGAAACUGAGGCAACAGCUGAAGAGACGUGACGACAUGAUAGUUGAAAUGCAAGAACAGAUUCUGGAGUUGCAAAACUCGCUUAACGCGCAGAUGGGAGACUCUAGCCAUCUACAAACACAGCUAGACACAACGAACAGGGAUCUUUUUGAAUCAGAGAGAGAAGUUCAGAGACUGAGAAAGGCAAUCGCUGAUCACUGUGUGGGACAAGCAGGUAGCAAUGGUUGGAGUGGUGAUGUGAACGGGUUUAUGGGAAGUGAAAACAGCUAUGAGUCACCACCAGAAAAAGGAUCCAAGGAUGGAGAAAGAAUAGAGAUGUUGAAAAAGGAAGUGGGUGAGCUGAAAGAGGUAAUAGAAGGGAAGGAGUAUCUACUUAGGAGCUAUAAAGAGCAGAAGAUAGAGCUAUUGCAGAAGGUGAAAGAGUUGCAGCAGAGAUUGGACUCACAGCUCCCAAGCAUUUUGUAGGUGGAAAGGUUAGGCAUUGUGCAUUCUUAUAACUACUCUCUCUUCUUAUCUCGAGAAAAAAAAAAGAAAGGAUAUAUGAACUCUCCGAGGAAACCUCUCUUCUGACUACAGAUUGUUUUGGUUGUUUUAAUGCUUCGGCUUUGAAUGUCUGGAUCCUUUUUUGGGUUGUCACCUCUGAUUAAUCCUUUGUUUUUUGUUUUUUUCUGUUUCUGCUGGUGAAGUGAAUACUGGAAAUCUGAAAACUCAAAUACAAAUUCGUGUCUCAAGGCAUAUAAGCUGGUCAUAUUGUGGAGUUUCAGUUGGAAGUUGGUUGCUCUUUAACAAGAAAGUUGGUUACUUGUUAAAUAUUUUAAUUUAUCAAAUUCAUAAGGUAGAAUUCGUUAGGGAAGGACAAAUUAAUGUUAUUAAAUUGUAGUGUCUACAUAGACACAUAGUGAAGAAGACAAAGGGAAAAAAUGUCACAUAUAGAUCGAUCCAGCCAGCUGGUAAGUUAUUAAUUGUGUUCCACUAAGAGACGUAUAGAUAUCAAAGAUAGAUAAAAUUGAUAAUCAAUAGAAGAAGAUGUAUAAAGUGCAAAUUACACAUGUAUCAAAAUUUCUUAUACAAAUGUAGAUUUCCUUAUUUGGAAUGAUUAAACAGAAAAUAAAGAAAAUUGAGAGCUGAAUUUCUAUGAGUCUCUCACAACCACCGUGAGCGUCAUCCAUGGGACGUGGUUGACGCGUGCGGGGGAUUUUUCGUUUUUUAUUUUAUUUUAAUAAAAUUAACAGAGAAAAGAAAAAAAACGAAGGAGCUGUGAGGCGCCGUCUCUUCAACCUCUUCCCCUCCCUCCUCCACUUAGCUUCUCUCUCCCUCGAGGGUUUUACCAGGCAAGUUACACCAUAUCCCAUCGUCGGAGACUCAACGAUUCUUCUCGGAAUCUUAUUUCUCUAUUCAGCAAUUUCCGAUUGUGGCGCUGAGACAUAUACACACACAGCCAACACUUAAAAAAGUCAAGCAGGAGAAGCUUUUCUCUGUCUAUAAAGUGAAAUUAUGGAGCCCUCAUUUUUUCAAAGUUUUCUAUGAGGUUUGUAUUGCGAUUAUACUUCUCUGUACUCUCCCCUUUUUUUGUGGGCUUCACUCACUCUCACUUGAACUUUUCAGCGCAAAAAUCCAUUUUGAGUAGUUCUCUCGGAUUGUGUAUUCAUGUUUCUCCUUUUCAUUUCGAUUCUUGUCUUCAUUAAGGGCUGAGAUAGCGAUUCUAAACUAAGGUUGCUUUUCUAUUUCUAUUUGCUUCAUGUUCAAGCCAAGUAUCAUCUCUUUGUCUCUCUAGAUGAGACUUUACUUUUUGAGGUUGCAUUUUAUUUUAGAGUUGAGAGUCUGCUACCAGUCGAUUCAUUAUACUUUCUCACCUGAGACUGUUUGUUUGACUAAGAGAAAUGAAGAAUCCUGUUUCACAUUUCUGAAGCAAAAUUGUUAGCUGUGAAUGAAAACCUUACUGAUGGUGUAUAGCUAUGAACUGGAAUUUCCAACCCAUUUUCUCCUUUUUAGUGUUACUCUGGUUUCAUGUUUUGUUUUGUUGUCUUCUCUGCUUGAUUGUGUUUGAGGUAAUGCUCUAAUCGUGAUUCCUUUCAUCCCAAUAUCUUUGUAUAUUUUAUUUCUGGAACCUUUCCUCGGUUUUUAGCAUGUAGUGAUUUUAAAUAUUUAUUCCGGUGGUUUUUAUUGAGUUGACUUGAUGAAAUUUCCCCUAUUCAUUCUGAUUGUUGAUCAUGAUUUAUUCUUGCAUCCGGUCAAUGUAGGUUAUGUUUGGAUGAUAGAGACAUUUUGACUUACUCUUACAAUGAGUACACGAAGAAAUGGUAUUCCCAAGCAUCAGCGAGCUGAGAAAUUUUUUGGUGAAGGACCAAAUUGGAUACUAAUUGCAGGGGGUGCCUUGCUGAGCACAUUGUCCAUUCGAUUUGGGUACAAGCUAAAGCAGUCACUUGAUUGGAAACCUCAAUUGAAUGGCUCUGCUAAGUUAAAAGGUGCUUACUUUGCUGCUAUGUUGCGUAACAUGUUUUUUUAUCUGAUUGUAGUUUUUGUCUCUUAAUAAAAGUUUGUUGUGCAGCCAAUGGGACAUCUGAGAGGCCAAAAUCUUCAAGCUGUUGCUUGCAUUCUAACACGUCUUCCUGUGGGCACAACAAUGAUUAUUGUUGCUUUCGCUCCAUUCCAGGUGUGACUUUGUAGCUUUCUGUUUUUAUAUUUUCAUAUGGAUUUUCCCAUACAUAUUUGUUUAAGUCACUAUAUGCUAGUGUCUUGGCCUUGUGUCAUCUCUUACUGGUUUCCUUUCAUCAACCGUGAUGUGAAAAAGAUGUGUGAGAAAUAGGAAAAUCUAGUUUAAAUGAGGUGUAGAUGUUGCUACAGAGUUCUAGUUUUUGCCUACUGGUGUCUUUGAAGGCCAAUUACAGAACAUAUAUUAAUGUGCAUGAACGAAUUGGCAACUAGGAAUUCCAAUUUGAAGUUGUGAAAUUCUUAAAAUAGUUAUAAGAUUUUUCAUCUUCCAAGAACUUGUUGAACCUAAUAUUUAUUGUUUCGUUGUGGCAUGUUAUCAUUUAUAUGCAUCAAUGAGGCUGGCAAGUAGGGAAGCAGAAUUUCGGCAAUGAUUGUUGUCUUUAGUGGGUUGUAUGCUAACGAUAGUUACAGGAUUUGUCAUUUCCAAGAAAUGGUUGAAGCAUAGUUACAAGAUUUUUGUACUAUUAUAACCAAAAAUGAGUUCUUUUGGCUCUCUGGAAACUUUCUGAAUUCUCUAUCCAUGUAGUCCAGAGCAGCCAGUCAUGUGUGGAUCUCAUCAGACUUUGCUUCUUCUUAUUUUUUGUAGGCAGUGAGAAUGUGGAGGGAAAAGAGAUGACAAACGAGCAAAUGGUAUCCGCAUCUGACACUUCACUGCCUCUUGUGACAGUUCCUGCGCCAUCAUUUAGUAAAGAAAAUGGAGUCAUGUGGGCAAGUUCUCCUGAUCGCCUGGAACUUCCCCCAAAACCAUACAAUCACCAUUCUACCUGCUCAGAUUCUCCUUGCGUAUCUGAAACCAGCUCAGACAUCUUCAGCAAACGAGAAGUAAUACAGAAACUGAGGCAACAGCUGAAGAGACGUGAUGACAUGAUACUGGAAAUGCAGGAACAGAUAUUGGAGCUGGAAAACUCGUAUAAUGCGCAGAUGGCACACUCUAGCCAUCUCCAGGCACAGCUAGACACAAUGAACAGAGAUCUAUUUGAAUCGGAAAGAGAAGUCCAGAGACUUAGAAAAGCGAUAGCUGAUCACAGCGUGGGAUGCGGCACAGGUAGCAAUGGAAAGACAUCUCCUGUUGCACCUUGGAGUGGCCAUGUGAAUGGGUUUAUGGACAGCGAAAGCAACUAUGAGUCACAGGAAAAAGGAUUAAGGGAUGGGGAAAGAGUAGAGAUGUUGAAAAAGGAAGUGGGUGAGCUGAAAGAGGUAAUAGAAGGGAAGGAGUAUCUACUUAGGAGCUAUAAAGAGCAGAAGAUAGAGCUCUUGCAGAAGGUGAAAGAGUUGCAGCAGAGAUUGGACUCACAGGUCCCAAACAUAUUGUAGGUGGAAAGGUUAGGCAUUGUGCAUACUUGCGUCUCUUCUUUUCGUUUUGUUUUCUAUUAUUUUCUGGUUCUUUUUCCUUUUUCGAGAAGAUGAAUCUAUGUCCUAAGAUAAGAUCGUUGGAGAUAGAGGUGAUUUUCAGGUUCUUUCUAGCUUCAGCUUUCGUUUAUGAAUUGUCUUGAUUCUGUUUUUGUUGGGGUCUUUUAUCUCUUCUCUCUUUCUAAGCGUUUGGUGUAUAAAGGAAAAUAGUGGUUGAAGAGUUUGCCGCGGAAUUAGUUUCCUGCUUUUCCUUGUUCUAUUCUCCAUUAAAAUGGUAACUAACUAAACCACCAUCAACUAUAGUUUCGUGCCUUAGUAAUGACAAUUAAAAAUGAAAUUAGUGAAGAAAAAAUUGUAAUUCAAUGAUUCAUAUAAUUUGAUGUUUUGGAGGAAGUAGUGACAAAGGGUAAGUCACAUAUUAUAAAGACAGGUUUGAUUGACGAACAGCACUCUUACAUAAAGUCUUAGCAUUAGCAAUAGCAACCAUAUAUAUAUGUAAGAUUAAGAUUAUUAGUACAAAUGUAAAAUUUUUAUAAACGGAAUUAGAAAGUGUAAAUUGGGCAUAAGAUUGUAACCAAUGACCGAAUCAAAUUAAGAUUGUCACUUGAAGAAGAAUAGCCUAAAAUAAUAGUCCACUUGGAAAAAUUAAUAAUAGAAUACUUAAUUAUUUUAAAAAGGUAAUUAAAAAAAGAAUUGUCCGCAUGCUUAUUUUGAAGUCUGGGUUUGAAUAGUCGCAAAAUCAGACAUUUAUAUAAAAAUAGAGUUUUACUUUUUAAUCCUAAUAGGAUAAGUUUAUGUUUUUUAUUGAUAAAAAUAUAUAUAAAUAAGAGAAAAUGGGAGAGUAAACUUUAUCCUCUCAGAGGGAGUCUCUCACGUUUUGCUGGUCUUUCUUCCUCCUCUCGCUUUGGAUGGAGAUGUGAGCUUUCUUCUUUCUCUUCAUCCCUCUCUCUCUUUUAUAUUAUACCUACGACGACCCCAAAUACCUAAAAAUUCUUAAUAUCCAUGGCCCUCUCGCUCCUCUCUCCAGUUUCUGUCUCUGCCUCUGUUUCUUUUACUCUCUCCACCAUUACCGCUUCUAAUAAUGCCUCAUCCUCUCUCUCCCCUCUUUACUCUUUAUAUCAACCCAAAGGUCCCUCACGAACCACAACCACGACCUCGUUUUUCGGAGGCUCGGGGAACUUGAGGAUUGAUUCCAUGGCGGAUAAGAGGAAAUUGUGUCUCAUGCUUUGUACCAAUGGCGCCGCCGGCGGUGAAUUGGAUGAUAUGGACGAAGGUGAUAUCGAGAGGAUUGGAAAUCACGACGAAGAUGACGACGAAUUGAUACUAGGCCAUGCUAAUGGUUCCUCUGCUUCGCCUGAGAGAUGGGAUGUUUUGGGUCUCGGCCAAGCCAUGGUCAGUAUUUUUCUUUUCUUUUGUUCCUAUGAAUCAUUCAAGCCAAAUUACUCUCAAAAUGUUUUUUAUUCGAUUGCCAUUGAAGCUCAAUUGUCUCUAUGAUUGAGAAUCUCUAGCUUCAUAUUACCCUUGCUUGAAUCCUCAGAUACUUACUUGCUUGCUCCAUUAGAAAACUGAAUGGGGAAAACAAAUAAUAUUGUCGCUGAUGGUGUGUUUUAAAUGUUUUAGGUAGAUUUCUCUGGAGUUGUGGAUGAUGAAUUUCUAGAGAAACUAGGUUUAGAAAAGGGAACAAGGAAACUAAUUAAUCAUGAGGAGAGGGGUAAAUUAUUACAAGCAAUGGAUGGUUGCAGCUAUAAGGCAGCAGCUGGAGGGUCAUUGUCCAACACUCUUGUUGCUCUUGCAAGAUUAGGUUCUCAAUCCAUUGGUGACCGGCCUUUGAAUGUGGCAAUGGCUGGCAGUAUUGGAGGUGACCCUCUCGGGAGCUUUUACGGGUACUACACUUUCUUUUACUUAUAUGAUGACCCUCUUCUUCUUUUUUUGGCUGAUUGUGUAUGUCUUUAGCUUGCAAAUGGUGUGAAAAUAUCUGUAUUCUUCGUCCUAGUAUCCGAUUGGUUUUAUGCUAGAGUAGUUUCUAAGGCUUCAAACUAGACUAUCAUUACAUUUACUGAUGAUCAACACCUCACAAAAAUUUAGUUUUUUAGCUGCGGAUUGGGGUUGAUCUAUGUAUUCUAAAAUGCCCCAUCAAAUUUUGCCUCUAGAUGACUGAUGAUAGGUUAUAAAUGGUUUUCUAUGAUUUGCUUCUUCCGUCAUUUUGUUUGGUUUACUCACAAGGGGAGUACUUCUUAUGUUCUGUAGGACUAAACUACGUCGAGCAAAUGUCAAUUUUCUUUCUGCUCCAAUUAAGGAUGGAACAACCGGAACAGUGAUAGUUCUUACAACUCCUGAUGCACAACGUACUAUGCUUGCAUAUCAGGUAGGAUUUAUGAUCACUCUAAACUGCUAUUGCAAUGUAUUAAUGUUCAAAAUAUAAGGAUUUCGUUUUUUGCUUUUGCAAAGAGUAGAGGAAAGUUAACUUUUAAAGUAGGUGAUCUACAAGAAUUUUUCAUGAAUUAAGUGGUAGGAUCAAUAGCCUGCAUGAAGCAACCAAAUUGAAUAGUAGUAGAAUUGCUAAUUCCGAUAAGAUGUCUGUUUGAGUGAAACCACUAAUGAAAAACCUAAUAUGUAUAAUUUCAGGGAACAUCCUCUGUCGUUAACUAUGAUUCUUGUUUGGCUAGUUUGAUAUCCAAGACAAAUGUCUUUGUUGUGGAAGGCUAUUUGUUUGAGCUUCCUGAUACUAUAAGGACCAUAACAAAAGCAUGCGAAGAAGCCCACAGAAAUGGGGCACUUGUUGCUGUGACAGCGUCAGAUGUGUCUUGCAUAGAGAGGCAUUAUGAUGAUUUCUGGUGAGUUACUGUUCUUUUUCUUAAUCCAUUCUUGCGUCUAUUUAAUGUCAUUUUUUAAUAUACAUAUUAGGUUUUUCAUUAGUGGUUUCACUCAAACAGACAUCAUAUCGGAAUUAACAAUUCAAACAGACAUCUUACAGAGUUACAGUCCAUCAUAGGACCAGUUGAAAAUUGUAAAAAGGGAGUGAUUAUCUUUGUAGCUUGAUUAGUCAUAUAAUCUUUGAUUCUUCUGUCCGCAAAUUUUUGAAUCUGAAGAAACAAAACUUGAAACUAAAUGGGGAAUUCUGUUGUCUAAUCUCCAUUGUUAUCUAAGUUGUUUGCUUUUGUUGGUUUCAUUGUCUCCAUCUUUUUUCGUUUUUCGAGAAAAGAAAAAUGCAAAUGUUGAUGGUUUUGUGUUGAUUCAGGGACAUUGUGGGGAACUAUGCAGAUAUUGUAUUUGCAAAUAGCGAUGAAGCAAGAGCGUUUUGUCACUUUUCCGCAGAGGAAAGCCCAAUAUCAGCGACAAGGUACAUGAGCCACUUUGUUCCAUUUGUUUCGGUGACGGAUGGAAUCAACGGAUCAUACAUUGGAGUAAAAGGAGAGGCCAUAUACAUUCCUCCUUCCCCAUGCGUGCCAGUUGACACAUGUGGUGCUGGAGAUGCAUACGCUUCAGGGAUCUUAUACGGUAUCUUGAGAGGAGUAUCUGACUUGAAAGGAAUGGGAGAUAUGGCGGCUACAAUUGCAGCGACUGUGGUGGGUCAACAAGGAACCAGGCUUAGGGUUCAGGACGCGGUUGAGCUGGCUCGAUCACAUGCCUACCGUCUCAACGGUUCAGGUGUUCGAACAGAUAUUGGGUCUUGAUCAAAUUUCUAGCUUGUGAUUUUUAGCUUUAUGAUUCAUUCUUUGAUUUUCAUGUUGUAGUGCCUUUUGCAAUUGACUUGUAAUCUUUGUAUGUAACAUUUUAGUAUAUAUAAACAAAGUCUGAUAGAAUAAUAUUCUUGCAUAAACUAGUAAUGAGUUUAUUGGGAAUUCCAACAUGUAAUUCCAUGGGAAUAUUUUCUAGCCUUAACAGUGCUAUAACAAAGCCUGCGGCUUGAUUUAAAGACACAAUCUUGGUCAAUUUUUGAGCUCAGCAGCGUGCAGAGGAGAGUUCACUAAUUUGACAUUCAGGAACUCUUUCACGCAAUACCAAUAUCUUAAACAGGUUCUAAGGAUGGUCAUAUCGAUGACAACCGUAAAUACAAAGUUGGACUGACUGCUUAUAAGCUGUUGUUACGUGGAACAUGGAUAUUUUAUUCAUACAGUAGCAUGAUUGUAGCAGAACGAGUGAUGAAACUUAUUAACCACGAGGACGCCCUCUAGUGCAUCCAGAAUCUUAAAAAGGCCCAUUUAUACCUCAAAUGGGACUACAUUGCAAUUACACAAGACCCACAUUAUCGUCUUUAACCCUUCCUACCACUAUGACCUCCUCUCCCUCCAAUAAGGACGCUCGUUGUCUACCUGAAGGGUUAUUCUGUGUCUCCAAAGGCUCAUACCUCUCUGCUCGGCUGUGAAAUCGGCUGUUGAACAUGUUGACAUAUAAGUCAGAAGAGAUUGACAAAAAAAUUGAUCAUCGAUCUGGGAAAAAAAAAAAAAAAAACAAGUUGACAUAUAAGUCAGAAAAGAUUGGUUUGAGGAAAAAAAAAAUUUGGACCAUUUCUCGAUUUGUGCGUGUCAUCCUUGCGCAGGGGCCAUGCUAAUCUUCUCUGUAUCGUUCCAAUUUUAUCGGAUGUCCCCGAAGGGACAAUCGCUUAGCUGAAUCCAACGUUAUAUAAACGCAUCUUUGUUCUUGAGAGCAAACGAUGUGGGACUACUAAUGUUAUAUUUUGAGGUAUAAAUGGGCCUUUUGCUACUCCGUUAUGGCCCAUUAUACCAACGACCCAAUCUAUUGUUUUAAGAAUUCAAACCUUGAGUUUAAUCUCGCAUUACAUAUUUGUAUCGACAAAUUUGUAUGUUUAACACUUAAAUGGUCACUAGAUCCGGACCCGCACAUACGUGCGGGAUUGAUUUCAAAAAUUAAGUUUACUAUCAUGUUUGCAAUAUAUUACGUACAUGCAGUGUUAUGUUUAUAAACGAAAUUAUUAUAAAUGUUAUUAAAAUUCGUAAUCCGAACUUGUACAUGUUCAAUAUUUGUUUGUUUUUAAUUCGGUAUAGACAAAAGAAACGAUAGGAUUUGGAUUUUUUUCCCAGUAACGAUAACUACAUUAAAAAAAUAGUAAUAUAAAAGUGAUUUGUUUAUGUCGGAACAUGAACCCCAUCUCGUCUUGUCCCUUUCUAGAUAUCUCAUGUUUUUCCAUCUCUGAACCAUGGUUUUAAACUUUUAAUUAUAAUUUAUCCAUUUGAGAUCGUAUAUUUUAUUCCAACAAAUAGGAAAUAGGUAAAAAAUCAAGACUUAUUUGAAGAUAUUUUUAUUUGGUAUGAUAUUUAUAACAUAAACAUAUAUUGGUUUGCUUUUAUCAAAUUGGUGAAUAUUUGAAGUACUUAUCGCUUUACAAUAAAUUUUGGAUCAACAUUUGAUCAAAGCGGACCCGGAUUGAGUGUGAACCAGUUUAGUAAUCAGCUAAAUUUCUAUUAAACCCGUAGACUACUGAACCGGAUAAAGACAAAGAAAUAAACUUUAUAACUUCUCGGCCUUGAUGGCCCAAAUAUAUUUGUCAGGCGGGUCAAAAUCGUCCGCUAUGCAUGCUUUGCAACAGAUUAAAAUAAUUUUAACCCCACAAAAGUUCCAUUCAACAUAAUCUACAUUAAUGGUAUGUCCGCAUAUGUCUUGCUUGAAUUCGUAUUACCCUAAAUUUUUUUCUCCAAUUUUUUUAGGAAAAGUUUAGAUAAUGAUUUUUAUUUUCCGAAUUAUUGUUUUCUCCCCGUACCCGUUAUUUCUUGUAGUUUAUAUUAAUAAAUAGUAGUUCCACAUUUACUCUGCUUGAAUUCACGUUACACAAAAUUCUCGUUACUCCAUAUUUUAUUAGGAAUAGUUUAGAUAAUGGUUUUAAUUUUCUAAAUUACUCGUUUCCUUUCCGUACUUAUUAUUUCAUGUACCAAUAUUUGCAGUAACAAAGAAAGUUGAAAUUAAAUUAAGCUAUGUAAAUCUCAAUUUCCUGUAUCAUACCAGUUAUCUAAUAUUUAAAAAUUAAAAUUGAACUUAACUAUCCAAAUAUCCACCUUUUUGUUUCCUCAGUUUUAAUGUCUCCAUCUAGUCUAGUAGUUAUAUUAUGAAUUAUGCACUAAUUAUAUGUAGUAUUGAAUUUAUCUUUUCCGUUUAGUAGAACAAACAAAUAGAGUAGAAACAAAAGAAAAUAAAGAAUCUGAAAUUAUCAUGGUUUCUUUAUGUUGUUUAUUUUUAAUAUAUAUUUUUUUGUCUACACAUCUGAAAUUAAAGCUGCUGAAAAUCUGGUUUGAAUUAUUUUCAUAAUAUUAGUUUUGGAAAUGAUUAGGAUUUGAGAUUUUUAACUUAAUGAUUAAUAUCUAUGAUAUUAAAUCGAUUUUUUUAUAAAAACACAAAAUCUUUGUACCUAUUUUAAAGCAUGGUAAAUGGUAUGAAGUUUUUUUUAUUGUUUUGUUAUAUUAGUUACGGAUAAUAGUAAUUGUAGGGGGGUUUAGAUUUUUUUUCUAAUUUCCUUUUUUUUACGCUAGAGAAUUUUAUUAAUUAAGUGGCUCAAUUAAAAAAAAUUAGAUUGAAAAAGAUUUUUUAAAUAUUACACAGUAUUUAGUUUUUAUAUUAGUUAUGGUUAACACUAAUUGUGAGUGGCUUAAAU
RNAcentral lists this long non-coding RNA (33805 nucleotides) under Capsella rubella. Its description in RNAcentral is "long non-coding RNA (CRUB_LNC001377)". The record is from RNAcentral. Lineage: Eukaryota; Viridiplantae; Streptophyta; Magnoliopsida; Brassicales; Brassicaceae.